GUCCAGGAGCACGGCGGCCCGCCCGGCUCCGCUCGCGUGGGAGAGGAUGCGCCCCGGGCCGAGGCCCCUCCCCGCGGGGCUGCGGGUUGGAGAAGGCGCUUCCUUAGAGGGGUGUGUUGCGGGAUGGGGGUGUCCUGGCACCGGGCGCCCUUUCCGGCUCCAUGUAGAGCCACACCAUCGCGGCUCUGCACUAGAUUGCGUGCGCAGGAUCUCCUCCCUUCAAGGCAGGUUGAGUCGACAGGGUUCGCUCCCGUCCUGGGAGUCUACUCCUCAUCUUGGACUUCCUUCUUUCUCUGAACACCUACUGUGUACCAGCGUGGCGCUGAGGAAGCAUAUGUGAAGACAGGACAAUGUGUGGAGUGCCUUGGAAGUGUGCGUGACUGUUGCUGCUGACAGCCGAGCGGGGAAAGCCACAUUUUGCUUGGUUUGUGUCAGUAGCAUCAUCUACCAUCCCUGUCAUCUUCCAUGGAAAGUGGAAAGGGGAAGUUAGAUUCCCAAGGAGAAUCCCCGAAAUUAAUCGAACAAUCCUUGUACCAGAACAUUUUAAAUGCAUCAUCUCCUAUCAUUCUCGCAACAGCUCUCUGAGGUCUGCUCUUGGGCUGAAUGAAAACAGUUUCCUUGUAUGAACGAGGGAAAAACAGUACAGAAUAGGACAGGGUGAAUCGUCCCACAAGACGCCACUGCAUCUACCACCCACGUCACUUCUACUGAUUGUUGCUACUUUGAAAACCUGUCUAGGAGUUCUGUGGGUGGAUAUUUUUUGGGUGCUGUUGUUUUUAUCUUAGGAACAUCCUAAUCUUGAAGGAGACAGGUCAGGAUUUCUUCCCUCAGUCAACCAGCAAGCAC
Molecule: long non-coding RNA, 846 nt
Filed under: Equus caballus (horse)
Lineage: Eukaryota; Metazoa; Chordata; Mammalia; Perissodactyla; Equidae
Description: lncRNA (ENSECAG00000047563.1)
Source: RNAcentral